Pyrenochaeta sp. DS3sAY3a is the source of this 120-nucleotide ribosomal RNA. Lineage: Eukaryota; Fungi; Ascomycota; Dothideomycetes; Pleosporales; Cucurbitariaceae. The record is from Rfam.
ACAUACGACCACAGGACACUGAAAACAGAGCUUCCCGUUCGCUCAGCUGUACUUAAGCAGUGUACCGGCGUACUAGUAAUCAGGUGGGUGACCACUGGUGAAUCCAUGCUGUUGUAUGUU